This is an unclassified non-coding RNA of Fukomys damarensis (Damara mole-rat), 109 nucleotides long. NCBI's taxonomy places the organism in Eukaryota, Metazoa, Chordata, Mammalia, Rodentia, Bathyergidae. The record is from Ensembl.
AAGGAAGGAGAGGCUGUUUCUACAGGUGUCAUAGGAAAAUCGAUACUGAGCCACGGAUUAUUGGAUCCCGCAGAACCAUGGAGACUCGGCCCUGAAAUUCUUUCAAAGG